Molecule: long non-coding RNA, 1639 nt
Organism: Pogona vitticeps (central bearded dragon)
Lineage: Eukaryota; Metazoa; Chordata; Lepidosauria; Squamata; Agamidae
Source: Ensembl
GAGGUUAUCUCUGGAGAAGAAGUUCAGUGCAUUCCAAUUUUUUCAGCACAAGCUUGCUGGCCUCCAGACACUUUGCUGCCUGCGGCAAAGGGCAACAUAAUGUCCUCUGCCAGCCAGCUGAACUGGCAGCUGGAUUGUCCUUUUGAUGCUGACAGUGAGACAGCAUGCUGCUGAAGUAGGCAGGGCAGAGUGGUGUCCUUCAGACAACUGGCACUGUAGCUCCUCCACCCUUGUUCCCAGGGGAGAUUGUCUCACUUUGCCUAAUAGCAGGGCCAGUUCUGCAGCACCCUAAGCAGGAUGCUUUCCCCACUCCACCAGACUGCUUCCUCCGCCUUUGCUCUGUUGGAAGGAACUAUCCCUUCCCUCUGUAGUUCUCUCUCCCUCUUUCCACAUCCCCAGCUUGCUCUCUGGACUCCCGCUUAAUAUAGCCUGUGCCGAAUCCUCGCCCCUCUAUUCUGCCUCUAUCUAUAGCUCCUCCUUGGUCUUCUCUUAUUCCUAUUUUAAGCCUGAGCCGCUGAUGUGACAGGCAGAAGCUUGUGUUUACUUCCCUUCAGUUCCCAGGGAUGUGCACAGGCCCUCUCCCAGCCUCUUCCAGAUUUUCCCCUCUUCUCCUUUUCCGCCACAACAACUGCAGUAAGAGGAGUCUGGCUAUAGGGAUGUCCGGCGAGAUUGGAGAAGACACUAUGGUGAAGAAGGCUGCUUCCUCCGAGAGGGAACUGAUGGAACUAAGCGAAAAUGAUGUAGCAGAAAUCAACCUGCACGCUGUGGAAUCCAUCAGCGACUUGCACUACGGAUCCAGCAGACACGAAGGGAGCAGCCAGACUCAGCACAACAGCCCGUGGACACCGCAUAGCCUGGCCUCCUCCAAGCACUUCACUUUCCCAAAUGAAGAGGACUCGUCCUUUGUACCCAUCCAGAAUUUCCACAUGAUGCCCACUUUCACCUGUUGUCCUUGCUUUGGCCCAACCUGUUGCCCCACUGGCUUCUUUGCCCUCCUCGGAGUGCUGGUUGUGGCCAGUCUAGGCCUGGCCACCCUGGCGGUCUAUCUGAGUGUCCUGCAACGUGAGUCACUUCGGACGCUUGCUCAGUGGCUGGAGUCACAAGAGGAGGCCAUUCGACAAAUGAGAGCAGUGAGUUUACAGCUAUGGAAGCAGCUCAAUGCCAGCGAGCCUGGGGCUCAAACCUGAGCUUGGCAGUUACUACUCGUCUUGGUUCUAACUUUCCUUGGGGGAAGCCCGAUUCAUGUGACAAUGAGAGAAAACCAACUCACUGCUUGGCGCAUUUCGGACACUUGACAUGUGUUGGUUUGGACUCUGCAAUUCCUAAAGCAGAAAGCUCUCCAGAAGCAUUAGAGACCCGUUGCUGAAGUGUGUGUGGCCCGCAGACAGGAACAGCUGCAACACUUGAGGCUACCCAGGAAAGGGAGGAAGACUGGCAGAAACCCUACCCAUUGGUAAAGAGGAAGGGGUGCCUCCCGUGAACACUUCAGAUGCUGUUUUUUUUUCCAUACAUACACAGUAUUUUAAAUACUGUAUAUAUUAUCAGUACCUUUUCUCCACUUUAUAAUCAUUUAAAAUAUUGCUCACAUGGCACCUUUUGAUGUGUGUCUGGCAAUAAAAGCCACAAGCUUCCUUGGUCA